CCUACGGGUGGCAGCAGUCGAGAAUCAUUCACAAUGGGCGAAAGCCUGAUGGUGUGACGCCGCGUGGAGGAUGAAGGUCUUCGGAUUGUAAACUCCUGUCAUUGAUGAGCUAUUAGUCAAAGAGGAAGAGACGGCUAACUCUGUGCCAGCAGCCGCGGUAAUACAGAGGUCUCAAGCGUUGUUCGGAAUCACUGGGCGUAAAGGGUGCGUAGGUUGUUCCCUAAGUCAGAUGUGAAAGACCGGAGCUCAACUUCGGAACUGCAUUUGAUACUGGGGGACUGGAGGGUUCGAGGGGAGUCUGGAAUUCACGGUGUAGCAGUGAAAUGCGUGGAUAUCGUGAGGAACACUAGUGGCGAAGGCGGGACUCUGGAGAAACUGACACUGAGGCACGAAGGCCAGGGGAGCGAACGGGAUUAGAUACCCUGGUAGUC
Molecule: ribosomal RNA, 431 nt
Filed under: uncultured bacterium
Lineage: Bacteria
Description: partial 16S ribosomal RNA
Rfam family: Bacterial small subunit ribosomal RNA
Source: RNAcentral